CCUUCCCUUCCUCCCUCCUCAGGAAGCAUCAGUAAGCUCAGCUCAUUCUGAACUUUAAUACUUUACUAUUUCUGACAUGGACUCAGGAGCAGAAGAGGCAAGAUGAAUGUUGGAGGAAUGGACUCAGAGAAGAGAUUGGAAAGGUUUAAAACUAUUUGUGGCUGGUGAAUGCUGUGAUGGGGAGACACUGGAAUGUUCUAAAAAUAUUUUCAGGGUACCUCUCUUGGAUCACUGGUGGCAAACAGGUGAGCAGUUUUCUAGAGUAAAUUGAAUUCUUAUUGAAAAAAAGAAAAGAGUUAAGGAGAGACAAUAAAUAGAUGUUGCCUAAGAUGGCA
RNAcentral lists this long non-coding RNA (335 nucleotides) under Monodelphis domestica (gray short-tailed opossum). Its description in RNAcentral is "lncRNA (ENSMODG00000039756.1)". The record is from RNAcentral. Lineage: Eukaryota; Metazoa; Chordata; Mammalia; Didelphimorphia; Didelphidae.